AGGUGUGUGGUGGGGUGUGGAGGUGGUGUAGUGGUGUGUGGAGGUGUGUGGUGGGGUGUGGAGGUGUGUGGUGGGGUGUGGAGGUGGUGUAGGGGUGUGUGGAGGUGUGUAGUGGUGUGCUGAGGUGGUGUAGUGGUGUGUGGAGGUGGUGUAGUGGUGUGUGGAGGUGGUGUAGUGGUGUGUGGUGGUGUGUGGAGGCGUGUGGAGGUGGUGUAGUGGGGUGUGGAGGUGGUGUAGUGGGGUGUGGAGGUGUGUGGAGGUGUGUGGAGGUGGUGUAGUGGGGUGUGGAGGUGGUGUAGUGGUGUGUGGAGGUGUGUAGUGGUGUGUGGAGGUGGUGUAGUGGGGUGUGGAGGUGGUGUAGUGGUGUGUGGAGGUGUGUGGUGGGGUGUGGAGGUGGUGUAGUGGUGUGUGGAGGUGUGUAGUGGUGUGUGGAGGUGGUGUAGUGGGGUGUGGAGGUGUUGUAGUGGUGUGUGGAGGUGGUGUAGUGGGGUGUGGAGGCGUGUGGAGGUGUUGUAGUGGUGUGUGGAGGCGUGUGGAGGUGGUGUAGUGGUGUGUGGAGGUGGUGUAGUGGUGUGUGGAGGUGUGUAGUGGUGUGUGGAGGUGGUGUAGUGUGGAGGUGGUGUGUGGAGGUGUGUAGUGGUGUGUGGAGGUGGUGUAGUGGUGUGUGGAGGUGUGUGGUGGGGUGUGGUGGUGUAGUGGGGUGUGGGUGUGGAGGGAUAAGAUGAGAUGAGUUCUGUUCUGAUGAGAUGAGAUCUGUUCAGAUGAGAUGAAAUGAGUGGGGAGCGGACAGAUGCAUCUCCUGCAGGGACAUCUCUCUGGAAAAAAUAAAUCAAUUGGCAAAUGUUACACAAACAACUCAGCAAUCCAGCAAAAAAAAUAAAGACAUUGUAAAAUAACCAAACACAAUAUGCAACUAAAAACAAGAAAGAUGCAGACAUAGAGAGUACACAACAGGAGAAAUAUAACAUGCCAUACAUACCAAAAUGUAUGCUAAUAGUAUUAUGCGUGUGUGAACGAAUACAUGCAGAUAUGUAUAGUUUACAUCAGGACACAACACAGCAAAAAUAGCAUGUAGCUAACGUUAGCGAACUUGCUAGCAGGCUUGCUAAUUUGUCAGACAAAUACAUAGGCAAGCCAAUAAUUUGGAAACGUACAAAAAUGCAUACCAAUAGUAUUAUGCGUGUGUGAAACCAUCCAUACAGAUAUGUAUUUACAUAGUUUACAUUACGAGCACACAACACAGCAAAAAUACCAUGUAGCUAACUUUAGCGAGCAUGCUAGCAGGCUGGCUAAUUUGCCAGACAAAUACAUAGGCAAGCCAAUAUUGUGAGAACAAACCAAAGUGCAUACUAAUAGUAUUAUGCGUGUCUGAAAACAUAAAUGCAGAUAUAGAUACUUACAUGUCAUGUCUAGGACACAAUCCAGCUGUUCCAAUUGUGUCCAUGGGCAAACUCCACGUGUUGUGUUGAAUUCGCAA
Long non-coding RNA from Clupea harengus (Atlantic herring), 1477 nucleotides. The record is from Ensembl. Lineage: Eukaryota; Metazoa; Chordata; Actinopteri; Clupeiformes; Clupeidae.